ACUUUCAACAACGGAUCUCUUGGUUCUGGCAUCGAUGAAGAACGCAGCGAAAUGCGAUAAGUAGUGUGAAUUGCAGAAUUCAGUGAAUCAUCGAAUCUUUGAACGCACAUUGCGCCCCUUGGUAUUCUAUGGGGCAUGCCUGUUCGAGCGUCA
RNAcentral lists this ribosomal RNA (153 nucleotides) under Ampelomyces quisqualis. RNAcentral's name for it is "5.8S ribosomal RNA". It matches the Rfam family "5.8S ribosomal RNA". From Rfam's summary of the family: 5.8S ribosomal RNA (5.8S rRNA) is a component of the large subunit of the eukaryotic ribosome. It is transcribed by RNA polymerase I as part of the 45S precursor that also contains 18S and 28S rRNA. The record is from RNAcentral. Lineage: Eukaryota; Fungi; Ascomycota; Dothideomycetes; Pleosporales; Phaeosphaeriaceae.